Molecule: ribosomal RNA, 440 nt
Filed under: uncultured bacterium
Lineage: Bacteria
Description: partial 16S ribosomal RNA
Rfam family: Bacterial small subunit ribosomal RNA
Source: RNAcentral
CCUACGGGAGGCAGCAGUAGGGAAUAUUUCUCAAUGGGGGCAACCCUGAAGCAGCAACGCCGCGUGAAGGAUGAAGGUUUUAGGAUUGUAAACUCCUUUUUUGAAAGGAGAUAAUGACGUUAUCUCACAAAUACGCACCGGCUAACUCCGUGCCAGCAGCCGCGGUAAUACGGAGGCUGCAGGCGUUACUCGGAAUUACUGGGCGUAAAGAGUGCGCAGGCGGGCUUGUAAGUCAGAUGUGAAAUCCUGUAGCUUAACUAUAUAACUGCAUUUGAAACUAUGAGUCUUGAGUGUGGGUGAGGUAGGUGGAAUUCUUGGUGUAGGGGUAAAAUCCGUAGAUAUCAAGAGGAAUACUCAUUGCGAAGGCGACCUACUAGAAUAUCACUGACGCUCAUGCACGAAAGUGUGGGGAGCAAACAGGAUUAGAUACCCCUGUAGUC